AUUCUGCUGCUUCCGGCUGCUGACGACCACAUGGGCCCCGUCCUGGGCCAAACGCCGGGCGAUGGCGAAGCCGAUCCUGUGAGCAGAAAGAGACAAAGACUGCUAAGGCCUGUGCAGGGGAAGAGGUCGACAGUAUGAGCUCUGAAGUUAAGACUGCCCGGGUUUGAAUUCUGGCUCUUUCUCUAUAUAACCCCUACGUGUGCCUACUAUGUGUAAAACAGGCUUAAUGGCAUGGCCAUUUUUGGCAUUCCUUUACUUGUUUUUAUUAUGACCUGGACCACAGCCUCAGUUCCCAAGAACUGACAUCACUUUCUACAGUUCCCACCAUGGGUGACAGGCUUCAUCCCCUCUUGGGACUGAGAGGUGCCACUUCGGAUAAACCCUUUGGACUCCUAACUCCAAUCAGGUGUCUGCUUUGUUGAGGACUCACAGACACAGUCUCCUUUCUUCAAGAUCUUUACAAUGCAAGACCUCACUAACACACAGGGAUGGUCUCCCAGAGGGUCUGUGCUGUUCCUUCACUCAGAACAUCAAGAUGCACUGAAGUAAGGAUCCUCUAUUCUACAGUUCCUGCUAGCUGAGCUAUUCCAUGGGGGCUUCAGCAGGAAAUUCCAAGGUUGGCUUUGACAAGCUAAGGCCGGCUGGUGGAGCACAUCGAGUUCUGGAGGUUCAUGUGUGUUUUCAUGAAGAUCUGUCUGCCCGUAGCAGAUAAAGAGUUGUUGCCCCACUCCUCCUGGGGUCUUCUAUUUUCCUGGGAGGAAUUUCUGGAUUAACUGAACACACACACACACACACACACCCUUUUGAAGCAUCAACAGUAAUUCUGAGUUCUUAGGGACAAUGCAGAUUAAAUCCACAAUAAGAAAGACAACUAUGGCCAGGUGUGGUGGCUCACGCCUGUAAUCCCAGAACUUUGGGAGGCUGAGGCGGAUGGAUCACCUGAGGUCAGGAGUUAGAGACCAACCUGACCAACAUGGAGAAACCCCGUUUCUACUAAAAAUGCAAAAUUAGCCGGGCAUGGUGGCAGGCGCCUGUAAUCCCAAAUACUCGGGAGGCUGAGGCAGGAGAAUCACUUAAACCCGGGAGGCAGAGGUUGCAGUGAGCCAAGAUCGCGCCAUUGCACUCCAGCCUGGGCAAGAAGAGCAAAACUCCAUCUCAAAAAAAAAAAAAGAGUACUAUUGAUCCAGAGGUGACCAGACUAGCCUCACUGGAGAUAAUAGGUGACAUUAUUAUGCAAAGUGGUUUCAGUUCCCUUGUCUUGUUUUUGGAAUAGUAUAAGAGGCCUACAAUACGAAUAAAUAAGGCCCAUCACAAGCCUCACCAAAGGACAAAACUAAUCCACUUCUGAAGAAGGCUCUUUGUUGGGCCAGAUCAAAUCCUUGGACAGAACUGUACUCUUAAUCUCUGUAGUGAAAGUGGGGGGUAGUUUAAGAAUUUAUUAACCUUCUACCUUGAGCAAUCCCUCAGAAGUAAGAGGUGUCAGGCCUCUGAGCCGAAGCUCAGCCAUUGUAACCCCUGUGACCUGCACAUAUAUGUCCAGAUGGCCUGCAGGAGCCAAGAAGUCUGGGGCAGCUGAAAAACCACACAAGAAGUAAAACAGCCAGUUCCUGCCUUAACUGAUUAACCAACAUUACAACAUUCCACCAUUGUGACCUGUCCCUGUCCUACCUUAACUGAUCAAUCGACCUUGUGACAGUCUUCUUCUGGACAAUGGGUCUUAUCAUCUCCCCACCAUGUACCUUGUGACCCCCUCCUCUGCUAACAAUAGAUAACCACUUUUUACUGUAAUUUUCCAUUACCUACCCAACUCCUAUAAAGCAACCCCUUCCCCAUCUCCCUUCACUGACUCUGUUUUCAGACUCAGCCCACUUGCACUCAAGUGAAUAAACAGCCUUGUUGCUCACACAAA
RNAcentral lists this long non-coding RNA (1909 nucleotides) under Homo sapiens (human). Its description in RNAcentral is "non-protein coding DHRS4-AS1:15". The record is from RNAcentral. Lineage: Eukaryota; Metazoa; Chordata; Mammalia; Primates; Hominidae.